RNAcentral lists this long non-coding RNA (251 nucleotides) under Lathyrus oleraceus (garden pea). RNAcentral's name for it is "Pisum sativum (pea) long non-coding RNA (PSAT_LNC018281)". The record is from RNAcentral. Lineage: Eukaryota; Viridiplantae; Streptophyta; Magnoliopsida; Fabales; Fabaceae.
CGGUUUCAUUUUGAUUACUCUGUUACAAUGUAUUUUGUUGAAUCGACAUUGUACAUAAUUUGGUUAGUAUUAUAAUGUGUUAUUUUGUUUCAAUAAAAAUAGUAGUAGAAAAUUUCACAAGCAUGCUGCUAGUUUUACUAUUUUGGAAAAUACAUGCACUUUUGAUAGAUACAAAGGUAGGUGUGUGUGAAGUCGAUCUACGAUAUUGAAAAUUUUGUGAAUAAUUCUACUGCAACGUUGAGCAAUUUUUC